AAAAACAUCACCUCCAGCAUUCCCAGUAUUGGAGGCAUUGCCUGCCCAGUGACAACUGUUUAACGGCCGCGGUAUCCUGACCGUGCAAAGGUAGCAUAAUCAUUUGUUCUCUAAAUAAGGACUUGUAUGAAUGGCCGCACGAGGGUUUUACUGUCUCUUACUUCCAAUCAGUGAAAUUGACCUUCCCGUGAAGAGGCGGGAAUGCACAAAUAAGACGAGAAGACCCUAUGGAGCUUUAACUAACCAACCCAAAGAGAAUAAAUUUAACCAUUAAGGAAUAACAACAAUCUCCAUGAGUUGGUAGUUUCGGUUGGGGUGACCUCGGAGAAUAAAAAAUCCUCCGAGCGAUUUUAAAGACUAGACCCACAAGUCAAAUCACUCUAUCGCUCAUUGAUCCAAAAACUUGAUCAACGGAACAAGUUACCCUAGGGAUAACAGCGCAAUCCUAUUCAAGAGUCCAUAUCGACAAUAGGGUUUACGACCUCGAUGUUGGAUCAGGACAUCCUGAUGGUGCAACCGCUAUCAAAGGUUCGUUUGUUCAACGAUUAAAGUCCUACGUGAUCUGA
Molecule: ribosomal RNA, 566 nt
Filed under: Bos taurus (domestic cattle)
Lineage: Eukaryota; Metazoa; Chordata; Mammalia; Artiodactyla; Bovidae
Description: partial 16S ribosomal RNA
Rfam family: Bacterial large subunit ribosomal RNA
Source: RNAcentral